ACCAGAGUUUGGGAGCGGCACCCUGGUUCCGGGAGCGAGGCAAAGAACACAGAACUAAAAGACCUGCCAUUCCAGGGUCAGUCUGUGCAAAAAUUCACGGAGUAUAUAGAAUGUGCACUGCAAAGCCACAGAGAACUGCUUCAUUUGCCCACAGUUCUUCUACUCACAAUACUGCCUCCAAAUCUGAGGAGUUAAACACAAGUUUAUCACCAGAAAUAGCAAAAAGCAAGAGAAAUUAAGUUUCAAGCUCAUACAGCAAGAGAAAAACAGCCCUGCUUUUUCAACAAGAUGAAGAAGGAGAUAAAAAGGUGAGGAUCUUUCUUCUAUAUCAAAAGUUAGAAAAAAUGGCUUUUCAUAAAGAGGAAAUGAAAAAUAAGGCAUUCUAAACAGAUACAAAUAAAGCCGGGAUAU
Calidris pugnax (ruff) is the source of this 411-nucleotide long non-coding RNA. RefSeq lists it as uncharacterized. NCBI's taxonomy places the organism in Eukaryota, Metazoa, Chordata, Aves, Charadriiformes, Scolopacidae. The transcript has 3 exons. The record is from RefSeq and is a predicted model, not a curated record.